This 228-nucleotide ribosomal RNA is filed under the name uncultured bacterium. RNAcentral describes it as "partial 16S ribosomal RNA". It matches the Rfam family "Bacterial small subunit ribosomal RNA", at positions 15 to 236 of the family's 1533-position model. The record is from RNAcentral.
GAUCUGGCUCAGGAUAAACGCUGGCGGCGCACAUAAGACAUGCAAGUCGAACGAACUUAACCAUUAGUUUACUAUUGGAGCGGUUAGUGGCGGACUGGUGAGUAACACGUAAGCAACCUGCCUAUCAGAGGGGAACAACAGUUAGAAAUGACUGCUAAUACCGCAUAUGCCUUAGAAUCACAUGGUUCAAAAGGGAAAGGAGCAAUCCGCUGAUAGAUGGGCUUGCGU